GACAGAGGGUGCAAUCGUUGUUCGGAAUUACUGGGCGUAAAGCGCGUGUAGGCGGUGGCGCAAGUCGGGUGUGAAAGCCCUGGGCUCAACCCAGGAAGUGCAUUCGAUACUGCGUCGCUUGAGUCCCGGAGAGGAUGGUAGAAUUCUCGGUGUAGAGGUGAAAUUCGUAGAUAUCGAGAGGAAUACCGGUGGCGAAGGCGGCCAUCUGGACGGUGACUGACGCUGAGACGCGAAAGCGUGGGGAGCAAACAGG
This 253-nucleotide ribosomal RNA is filed under the name uncultured bacterium. RNAcentral describes it as "partial 16S ribosomal RNA". It matches the Rfam family "Bacterial small subunit ribosomal RNA", at positions 524 to 776 of the family's 1533-position model. The record is from RNAcentral.